AUCUUCGCCAUCUCCUGUAAUCAGGUCAAUGCCCUGCUCUGUGAGCUCUAUGGUGUUAUGUUUUUCGUCGAUGGUGAAGUAGAGUACCUUAUCGGCCUGUGGCAUCUGCUUCUGGUUAUCGGCCAGGUACACGUUUUCGGUACGCUGCAGUGCCUGGCGGAUGCCUGGUUCACUUAAGUACUUAAUAAGCGGCUUAUACUUUGGCAUACCCCUGUAGGCACGGAAAAGUGCAAGGCCGGCUUCAUCAUCUUUUAUGUUGGCACUAAGUCCUUUUUUAGCCUCCUGCAGCAAACUGGUUACCAGCUUGCGCUGUGCCUCUACCAGUCGGCUUACACGGGGCUUCAGGUCAUAGAAUUCAUGCUCAUCGCCUCGAGGCACCGGACCG
This 385-nucleotide unclassified non-coding RNA is filed under the name plant metagenome. Its description in RNAcentral is "partial contains 5.8S ribosomal RNA, internal transcribed spacer 2, and large subunit ribosomal RNA". The record is from RNAcentral.